RNAcentral lists this unclassified non-coding RNA (248 nucleotides) under fungal sp. RNAcentral's name for it is "partial contains small subunit ribosomal RNA, internal transcribed spacer 1, and 5.8S ribosomal RNA". The stretch from base 1 to 46 matches the Rfam family "Eukaryotic small subunit ribosomal RNA", at positions 1786 to 1831 of the family's 1831-position model. Lineage: Eukaryota; Fungi. The record is from RNAcentral.
AAGUCGUAACAAGGUUUCCGUAGGUGAACCUGCGGAAGGAUCAUUACGAAUAUCGGGGACUGGCGUAGCGAAGUGCUUCUGCACUCUCUAUGCUGGUCCUGUCUGCAUAUUGCCCUGUUUUUUGCGCACUUACUUGUUUCCUCGGCAGGCUUGCCUGUCAGUAGGACCCUUUUACACUCUUUGAAAUAGCAGUUAGCAUCUGAAAACUAUAAUUGUUACAACUUUCAACAACGGAUCUCUUGGUUCUG